This 465-nucleotide ribosomal RNA is filed under the name uncultured bacterium. RNAcentral describes it as "partial 16S ribosomal RNA". It matches the Rfam family "Bacterial small subunit ribosomal RNA", at positions 338 to 795 of the family's 1533-position model. The record is from RNAcentral.
CCUACGGGAGGCAGCAGUAGGGAAUUUUCGUCAAUGGGCGCAAGCCUGAACGAGCGAUGCCGCGUGAGUGAAGAAGGCCUUCGGGUCGUCAAGCUCUGUUGCGGGGGAAAAAAGGCAGCAUCAGGAAAUGGGUGCUGACUGAUGGUGCCCCGCCAGAAAGUCACGGCUAACUACGUGCCAGCAGCCGCGGUAAUACGUAGGUGGCGAGCGUUAUCCGGAAGGAUUGGGCGUAAAGGGUGCGCAGGCGGUCCUGCAAGUCUGGAGUGAAACGCAUGAGAUCAACUCAUGCAUGGCUUGGGAAACUGGAGGACUGGAGAGCAGGAGAGGGUGGUGGAACUCCAUGUGUAGCGGUAAAAUGCGUAGAUAUAUGGAAGAACACCAGUGGCGAAGGCGGCCGCCUGGCCUGUUGCUGACGCUGAGGCACGAAAGCGUGGGGAGCAAAUAGGAUUAGAUACCCGGGUAGUC